Oreochromis niloticus (Nile tilapia) is the source of this 1754-nucleotide long non-coding RNA. Lineage: Eukaryota; Metazoa; Chordata; Actinopteri; Cichliformes; Cichlidae. The record is from Ensembl.
AUGCAGCUGAGGAUCGCCCCGACCCGCCGCGAAAGCUGGAGUGAAACGAUAGUCCAAAAGGGGCUUAGCGUGAGACCCAAAGCCCCCAGGGGCGAGGACAACAGGAGAGACGAGUCCUCCGUCACAGGUGGUGUGGUCAGUGAAGAUGGUCGCCUGCAGGUUCAAGCUCAUUGCAUCUCCAGCCCACAUCCACUGCCACUGUACUUAAGGGAAGUUAAAGACUUUCUUCUGCACUUACAUUUGGAUCACCUCGAUCCAUGACAGUCAUUCAGGCAGUAAUGACGAAUCUCUUCGUCCGCAUGGUUACUUGUUGCUUUCUGUUCCACUUGCCCGAACUGAACUUGGUAAAAGAGCUUUUGUCAAUUUAGCACCCUCGGCUUGGAACAAACUGCAGAAGGACUGGAAAAUGACUGAAUUCAUUUCAUUAAGUGCUUUUAGAUCUAAACUACGAAUCCUUGAGGCCAAGUCCAUAAUAUGCAACUGUUUUAAUUAGAUUGAUUGUCAUUUUAACUGCCUUUUUUUUUUCUUUUUUUUUUUAAUUGAAUUUUAUUUUAUUUGUUUUCUUUCACUUAUUGUUGCAUGUGUGUUGUUGAUGCCUAUGUUUGAGUAAUCUCUGUAACUGUGAGACACCUGCUGCUGCCUAUCUUGGCCAGGUCUCCCUUGAAAAAGAGGUUUUUAAUCUCAAUGGGAUCUUCCUGGUUAAAUAAAGGUUAAUAAUAAUAAUAAAUGCCUGGACUGGAAACAAGCAUCCUUAAAAUAAUACAACAUUCCAGCUCAUGUGUUGGAAUGAAAAACAAAUGUGUGGUUUAAAUUAGAGACUGCACUUGUGACAGAACAAUAAAUAUUUUAUUUUGAUUAUAUAAGUAAGUACAAAACAAACUUGUGGUAGGCCUAAACUUAUUUUAAGAAUAAUUACAUCUGAGACUUUGUCUCAUUGUAAGAUUAUAAUUGUUUGUUGUUCAGCAGAACAGUGUUCAGUAUGUUGGCUGUUAUACUUUGUUGCAUUUGAAAAUAAAAGUUGGGCUCAUUUUAACAUCAUUACAAAAAGUGUUGUUAAUUAUUUUUAAUCAUAUUCAGGUUACCACAAAUUGUUUUUUCAUUUAGUUGAAUGUUUGUCAGUAGGUAAACAAUUAGUAUUGUACAUUCAGAAAUAUCAAGUUAUUCUUAAUACUGCAGACUUGCAAUGUAUAAGUUGUCCUAACAGUCAUCUUAAGUAAGCUUUACUUAGUUUUUUUUGAGGCAACAAGUUUCCAUAAUUUUUUUGAGUUCUGGGAACUAACAAGGCUGUACAGUGUACUCAAAAUGGGUAAGUUGCCCUAACUUGGUCAUCUUAAGUAAACUUGAUCCAAUUUUUUUGACUUCUGGGAACAAAUGAGCUUGUACAGAGUACUCAAAAUAAAUAAGUUGUCCUAAUUUAGUCAUUUUUAGCUAAGCUUUACUCAAUUUUUUUAAGGCAAUGAGUUUCCUCAGUUUUUUUGAGUUCUGGGAACUAAUUAGAUUUUACAGUGAUGGAAGUAUUAUUGUAACAAAAUGUUUUCUAAGUAGAUUUUUUACCAAUUGAACACAUUUGUUUCUGUGGUCUUAAAUACAUAAAAGCAUAUUGUUUAACUUGGCUGCGAUGGUACAAAUCUAAAUUUCCGGUUUAUUUUCACUUUUUAAAUAUGAAGUGUUGAAAGGCCUACAGUUAAAAAAUAAAAAAGUUAUUUGCUAAAAAAAAAUGCUGAAUGAAUUCAUUUUUUAAAAGCUAUUACAAU